This 52-nucleotide transfer RNA is filed under the name Ciona intestinalis (vase tunicate). RNAcentral's name for it is "transfer RNA-Cys". Lineage: Eukaryota; Metazoa; Chordata; Ascidiacea; Phlebobranchia; Cionidae. The record is from RNAcentral.
GGCUAAUUAUUGGUUAUCUGCAAAAUAACUUAGUAGUUCCGGCUAUUAGCUG